AGCAGCCGCGGUAAUUCCAGCUCCAAUAGCGUAUAUUAAAGUUGUUGCAGUUAAAAAGCUCGUAGUUGAAUUUCGGGAUCAAUAUGUUGGUCGUGCCUCGGUACGUACUAGCAUAUUGGUUUCUCCUUUCUGAAGAACCAUGAUGUCAUUUAUUUGGUGUCGUGGGGAAUCAGGACUGUUACUUUGAAAAAUUAGAGUGUUUAAAGCAGGCUCACGCUUGAAUACAUUAGCAUGGAAUAAUGAAAUAGGACGUUUGAUUCUAUUUUGUUGGUUUCUAGGAUCGACGUAAUGAUUAAUAGGGAUAGUUGGGGGCAUUAGUAUUCAAUUGUCAGAGGUGAAAUUCUUGGAUUUAUUGAAGACUAACUACUGCGAAAGCAUUUGCCAAGGAUGUUUUCAUUAAUCAAGAACGAAAGUUAGGGGAUCGAAGACGAUCAGAUACCGUCGUAGUCUUAACCAUAAACUAUGCCGACUAGGGAUCGGAUGAUGUUAAUUUUUAAUGUACUCAUUCGGCGCCUUAAC
This 519-nucleotide ribosomal RNA is filed under the name uncultured Glomus. Its description in RNAcentral is "SSU rRNA". It matches the Rfam family "Eukaryotic small subunit ribosomal RNA", at positions 569 to 1092 of the family's 1831-position model. Lineage: Eukaryota; Fungi; Glomeromycota; Glomeromycetes; Glomerales; Glomeraceae. The record is from RNAcentral.